UCCAGAGGAAGGCCACCAAGAUGAUUAGAGGGAUGGAGCGAGCACCUCUCCUAUGAGGAAAGGCUAAGAGAAUUGGAAUUGUUCAGCCUGGAAAAGAGAAGACUUCAGGGUGACCUAAUUGUGACCUCACGGUACCUGAAGGAAGCCUAGAAGAAAGACAAGGAGAGACUAUUUACAUGAGCAUGUAGUGAUAGAACAAGGGGGAAUGGCUUUAAACUAAAAGAGAGUAGGUUUAGAUCAGAUAUUAGGAAGAAAUUAUUUAUUGUGAGGGUGGUGAGGCACUGGAACAGGCUACCCAGAGAAGUUGCUGAUGUCCCAAACCUGGAAUUGUUUAAGGCUGGGUAGGAUGGGGCUCUGAGCAACCCAGUCUAGUGAGAGGUGUCCCUGCCUAUGGCAGGAGGGUUGGAACUACGUGAUUCUUUAAAGUUCCUUCCAAACCAAACCAUUCUAUGGUUCUAUGAUGCUAUUGCCAGAGCAUAAUGAAUUCAUAUCACCUCUCUGUCUGGCUUCUGGUCCUGGAGGGAGCUGUUUUUUUUACAGGACACUUUCUGCUGCACAUUGAAGACCACCAGAGGAAGGAGGCCUGAGAAAGGACAGGCUUUUUCAGCCCCAGCCUUAUUGAAGAGCUAAGAAUUGCUCAAUUGCAAUUUUAAAAUUCCUUAAGGAUGAGAAAGAUGAUGAUGAAGAAAAGAUGUUUUCGAAGUUCUGAGAAUUCAGCAAAACAAAGACUUGUACUACAUGCAAAACCAAUAAUAAAGUAUGUUCUGCACUCA
This is a long non-coding RNA of Pseudopipra pipra, 773 nucleotides long. RefSeq lists it as uncharacterized. Lineage: Eukaryota; Metazoa; Chordata; Aves; Passeriformes; Pipridae. The record is from RefSeq and is a predicted model, not a curated record. The transcript has 3 exons.